UGGGGAAUAUUGCGCAAUGGGGGAAACCCUGACGCAGCAACGCCGCGUGAAGGAUGAAGGCUUUCGGGUUGUAAACUUCUUUGAUCGGGGACGAAGAUGACGGUACCCGGGGAACAAGCCACGGCUAACUACGUGCCAGCAGCCGCGGUAAUACGUAGGUGGCAAGCGUUGUCCGGAAUUACUGGGUGUAAAGGGCGUGUAGGCGGGGCGACAAGUCAGAUGUGAAAUACCGUGGCUUAACUGCGGGGGUGCAUCUGAAACUGCUGCUCUUGAGUGUCGGAGAGGAAAGUGGAAUUCCUAGUGUAGCGGUGAAAUGCGUAGAUAUUAGGAGGAACACCAGUGGCGAAGGCGGCUUUCUGGCCUGUAACUGACGCUGAGACGCGAAAGCGUGGGUAGCAAAUAGG
This 404-nucleotide ribosomal RNA is filed under the name uncultured prokaryote. RNAcentral describes it as "bacterial SSU rRNA". It matches the Rfam family "Bacterial small subunit ribosomal RNA", at positions 355 to 776 of the family's 1533-position model. The record is from RNAcentral. RNAcentral also lists the same sequence under 1 other name.